RNAcentral lists this ribosomal RNA (764 nucleotides) under uncultured Caulobacter sp. RNAcentral's name for it is "bacterial SSU rRNA". It matches the Rfam family "Bacterial small subunit ribosomal RNA", at positions 117 to 916 of the family's 1533-position model. Lineage: Bacteria; Pseudomonadati; Pseudomonadota; Alphaproteobacteria; Caulobacterales; Caulobacteraceae. The record is from RNAcentral.
GUGGGAACGUGCCCUUUGGUUCGGAACAACACAGGGAAACUUGUGCUAAUACCGGAUAAGCCCUUCGGGGGAAAGAUUUAUUGCCAUUGGAGCGGCCCGCGUUGGAUUAGGUAGUUGGUGAGGUAAAGGCUCACCAAGCCUACGAUCCAUAGCUGGUCUGAGAGGAUGAUCAGCCACAUUGGGACUGAGAACACGGCCCAAACUCCUACGGGAGGCAGCAGUGGGGAAUCUUGCGCAAUGGGCGAAAGCCUGACGCAGCCAUGCCGCGUGAAUGAUGAAGGUCUUAGGAUUGUAAAAUUCUUUCAGCGGGGACGAUAAUGACGGUACCCGCAGAAGAAGCCCCGGCUAACUUCGUGCCAGCAGCCGCGGUAAUACGAAGGGGGCUAGCGUUGCUCGGAAUUACUGGGCGUAAAGGGAGCGUAGGCGGAUAGUUUAGUCAGAGGUGAAAGCCCAGGGCUCAACCUUGGAAAUGCCUUUGAUACUGGCUAUCUUGAGUAUGGGAGAGGUAAGCGGAAUUCCGAGUGUAGAGGUGAAAUUCGUAGAUAUUCGGAAGAACACCAGUGGCGAAGGCGGCUUACUGGCCCAUUACUGACGCUGAGGCUCGAAAGCGUGGGGAGCAAACAGGAUUAGAUACCCUGGUAGUCCACGCUGUAAACGAUGAGUGCUAGUUGUCGGCAUGCAUGCAUGUCGGUGACGCAGCUAACGCCUUAAGCACUCCGCCUGGGGAGUACGGUCGCAAGAUUAAAACUCAAAUGAAUUGACGG